UACAGAGGGUGCGAGCGUUGUCCGGAAUCACUGGGCGUAAAGGGCGCGUAGGCGGCCUGGUAAGUAGGGGGUGAAAUCCUGCGGCUCAACCGCAGGGCUGCCUUCUAAACUGCCAGGCUGGAGCACGGUAGAGGCAGAUGGAAUUCCCGGUGUAGCGGUGGAAUGCGUAGAGAUCGGGAAGAACACCAGUGGCGAAGGCGGUCUGCUGGGCCGUUGCUGACGCUGAGGCGCGAUAGCGUGGGGAGCAAACAGG
RNAcentral lists this ribosomal RNA (253 nucleotides) under uncultured bacterium. RNAcentral's name for it is "partial 16S ribosomal RNA". It matches the Rfam family "Bacterial small subunit ribosomal RNA", at positions 524 to 776 of the family's 1533-position model. The record is from RNAcentral.